UGCGAAGCCCGCGCGGGACGAGCAGGCGCAGGACUCGCCCCAGCGCCGCGCCGGCCCCCACCGCAGCGCCGCCUCUCUACGCUGGCUCUAUCGAGCCUUCGGCCCCGCGACAGCGGCGACGACCGCAGCCCCAGAGCCGUGCUAAGGUCUCGACUCGGCCGCGGACAAUGGCGGCCGCUACCCCGGCGUCGACCCGGGCGCGCCGUGGGGUUGCUGGGAGCGGUAGUCCGACAGCUCACUUCCGGCAUUGGGCCGGGGCGCGCCGCGGGGACUGCUGGGAGAGGUAGUCCAACAGCUCACUUCCGGCGUUGGGCCGCGGCGCAUCCAUCGCGGGAGCUGCCCUGCUCCCCUUCCCGGAGCGCCCACUGCGUGGCGCUUGAUCCGUCAGGGCGCUGACGUCAGAGGCGGCGGUGUGGUUGCAGCCCCAGACCGCCCUCCAUCCCCCCGCUGCCCGCCUUGAGAGGGCAUGGGGUCUGCUCUGGUGGUUCCCAGGCUCAGCACCUCAGUGGGAAACCCACUUCUCACUCACCACUCUGCUUCCUGAACGUUUAUUGAGCUCCUACCCUGUGAGCCUGGUAUGGAGGCUUCCAAGGCAAGUCAGACCUGUUUGCGGCCCAUGAGGAUCCACAGUAUAUGGAGGUUGACGGGGAAGAAAUGCAGAUGCAGUAUUCAAGGCCCGCUCUAGGAAUCAUCAUCACCAAACUCAGCAGCACCUUGAUGUUGAACUUCCCAACCUCCAGACUGUGAGC
Molecule: non-coding RNA, 749 nt
Organism: Microcebus murinus (gray mouse lemur)
Lineage: Eukaryota; Metazoa; Chordata; Mammalia; Primates; Cheirogaleidae
Source: RefSeq, a predicted model, not a curated record